Molecule: ribosomal RNA, 1496 nt
Filed under: uncultured bacterium
Lineage: Bacteria
Description: bacterial SSU rRNA
Rfam family: Bacterial small subunit ribosomal RNA
Source: RNAcentral
AGAGUUUGAUCCUGGCUCAGAUUGAACGCUGGCGGCAUGCCUUACACAUGCAAGUCGAACGGCAGCACGGGAGCUUGCUCCUGGUGGCGAGUGGCGAACGGGUGAGUAAUGCAUCGGAACGUGCCCUGAAGUGGGGGAUAACGCAGCGAAAGUUGCGCUAAUACCGCAUAUUCUGUGAGCAGGAAAGCAGGGGAUCGCAAGACCUUGCGCUUUAGGAGCGGCCGAUGUCGGAUUAGCUAGUUGGUGGGGUAAAGGCUCACCAAGGCGACGAUCCGUAGCGGGUCUGAGAGGAUGAUCCGCCACACUGGGACUGAGACACGGCCCAGACUCCUACGGGCGGCAGCAGUGGGGAAUUUUGGACAAUGGGCGAAAGCCUGAUCCAGCCAUGCCGCGUGAGUGAAGAAGGCCUUCGGGUUGUAAAGCUCUUUCGGCGGGGAAGAAAUCGCAUUCUCUAAUACAGGAUGUGGAUGACGGUACCCGAAUAAGAAGCACCGGCUAACUACGUGCCAGCAGCCGCGGUAAUACGUAGGGUGCGAGCGUUAAUCGGAAUUACUGGGCGUAAAGCGUGCGCAGGCGGUUUCGUAAGACAGACGUGAAAUCCCCGGGCUCAACCUGGGAACUGCGUUUGUGACUGCGAGGCUAGAGUUUGGCAGAGGGGGGUGGAAUUCCACGUGUAGCAGUGAAAUGCGUAGAGAUGUGGAGGAACACCGAUGGCGAAGGCAGCCCCCUGGGCCAAUACUGACGCUCAUGCACGAAAGCGUGGGGAGCAAACGGGAUUAGAUACCCUGGUAGUCCACGCCCUAAACGAUGUCAACUAGGUGUUGGGAGGGUUAAACCUCUUAGUGCCGUAGCUAACGCGUGAAGUUGACCGCCUGGGGAGUACGGCCGCAAGGCUAAAACUCAAAGGAAUUGACGGGGACCCGCACAAGCGGUGGAUGAUGUGGAUUAAUUCGAUGCAACGCGAAAAACCUUACCUACCCUUGACAUGUCAGGAAUCCCGGAGAGAUUUGGGAGUGCCCGAAAGGGAGCCUGAACACAGGUGCUGCAUGGCUGUCGUCAGCUCGUGUCGUGAGAUGUUGGGUUAAGUCCCGCAACGAGCGCAACCCUUGUCGUUAGUUGCUACGAAAGGGCACUCUAAUGAGACUGCCGGUGACAAACCGGAGGAAGGUGGGGAUGACGUCAGGUCAUCAUGGCCCUUAUGGGUAGGGCUACACACGUCAUACAAUGGCCGGGACAGAGGGCUGCCAACCCGCGAGGGGGAGCUAAUCCCAGAAACCCGGUCGUAGUCCGGAUCGUAGUCUGCAACUCGACUGCGUGAAGUCGGAAUCGCUAGUAAUCGCGGAUCAGCUUGCCGCGGUGAAUACGUUCCCGGGUCUUGUACACACCGCCCGUCACACCAUGGGAGCGGGUUCUGCCAGAAGUAGUUAGCCUAACCGCAAGGAGGGCGAUUACCACGGCAGGGUUCGUGACUGGGGUGAAGUCGUAACAAGGUAACC